This 252-nucleotide long non-coding RNA is filed under the name Ananas comosus (pineapple). RNAcentral describes it as "long non-coding RNA (ACOM_LNC005836)". Lineage: Eukaryota; Viridiplantae; Streptophyta; Magnoliopsida; Poales; Bromeliaceae. The record is from RNAcentral.
UUUUCUGCCAACACGUAUGCAAGGACAAGUAAUAUACUUCCAAAAUUUUCAAAAAAAACUAUAGAAUUUAUAUUUUAACAAACUCAAUCAAAAUACUUAUUAUACUUUUUCGCUACACAUACGUCUGCACAUAUGUGCGUAAUAUUAUUUACAUACAUAAACAAUAUUUAUUUUGAUCAUCUUUUUCACUCCAUUAUCAUUUUCUAGCCCCAAUACCAAACAAAGCCAUUUUCUUUUCUCAAGCAGGUCAGC